AUGGGCGCGAAGGUUUCCAGCAGUUCCAACCACCGAGGCAGCCUGUCGGAGCAGGCACACCAGCCGGCGUCCGUCAGGGUCAUCGCCGCCGACGGCUCGCUGAAGGAGCUCCCUGCCACUCCCAGUGUCGCCGUCUCCGACGUUCUCGCCGGCGAGGCCGCCUCCUUCUUCGUGUGCAACUCCGACGCGCUCUACUUCAACGAGCCCCCACCGGCGCUGGCCUCCGAUGAGCUGCUCCGGCCGGGACAAAAAUAUUUCCUGCUCCCGGCGGCGGUUCUCGGACGGCCUCUCUCGAGCGCCGACAUGGCCGCGCUGGCCGUGCGCGCGAGCGCAGCAAUCGCGGGCGCCAAAAGGCCUGAGCGGCGCGGCGGCAAGAAGAACCUGCGCGUCGUGCCGGUGCGCGAGGAGGUGGAAGACUGCCAGGACGUCAUGUUCAACGAGAAGCUUAACGAGCGGACCCUCGGGGAGUUCGCGGUGUCGCUGAGUCCGGCGAAGAAGAGCAACGGGAAGCUCGCCGCGCGGUCGCGGCUGAGGCUGAAGCGGGCUCUGAGCAUCAUACAGGAGGCUGCUGACUGA
This 576-nucleotide ribosomal RNA is filed under the name Triticum aestivum (bread wheat). RNAcentral's name for it is "partial small subunit ribosomal RNA". The record is from RNAcentral. Lineage: Eukaryota; Viridiplantae; Streptophyta; Magnoliopsida; Poales; Poaceae.